AUUACAACUCAUGCAACUAUUUCUAAUAAAUUACAAUUUUCAAUUUAAACAAAUUCCAAGAAACUAUUUCUAAAGUUUUGUUUUGAAUCUGUAGUCAACUUGUGAGUUUCGACUUUGAGGGAGUUGUUGACUCCGCUUGAUCAUGGGUUUGAGGCUGCCCACCGUCGCGGUAGUCAAUUCCAUCUCCACGCAUCUCAUGGUCAUGUCGCACUUGUUUAUGCUUUUGCACUCAAGUUUAUUGCUUCCUUUGCCACAAAUGUCAAAGCCUUUGCAGCUGCCUCUUCGGGAGGGACUUAGUAGAGUGAGUAAGCAUUGCCUGCCUCAUUAAGCUUGGUGGUUCCGCAGUCACAUGUUUGUCUCGGACUAUUCGUUGAACGGACUGCUUCCUCGCUUCUCGAUCUUCCGCUUUGUUUCUUUGUAACUUUCAUUGUUGUCUUCGUUUCUAGAUGCACUUUAGGGAAACGUUUUUAUCUUGCAUCAAACUGUCUUCUACCAUUAUCAUUAUGUUAAUGGUUUGAAUUGAUGAUUUGGUGCAAGAAAGUGGUAUGCUUCCAUGUUUUUUAUCCAUUUUUUGGCAUGGGAUCAUGUAUUUGGUUAUGCUUAAUUGUGUAACUCAAACUUUCAUUGUGAAAUGGAUAUUUACAUUCUUUAGUU
Long non-coding RNA from Arabidopsis lyrata subsp. lyrata, 654 nucleotides. RefSeq lists it as uncharacterized. The transcript has 2 exons. The record is from RefSeq and is a predicted model, not a curated record. NCBI's taxonomy places the organism in Eukaryota, Viridiplantae, Streptophyta, Magnoliopsida, Brassicales, Brassicaceae.